GACUUUGGACAGGAGGCCUCUCUGGACCUCAUUUACCAAGAGUGAUGCUGAAAAUCUCACCUUUCUGAUGCUCUGGUGCACUGGGUUUACCAUCCAGCAUGCUGCUUUUCAACUUCAGAUUGAAAUGUCCAUGGCAACAGACUCUGUGCAUAAGUGGGUAUGAGUGGCACUGAUCCUGAUCUCUUGGCCUAGAGCAGAGAGCCUUCAGAGAGCACACAAUUUCACUUCCUAGGGCUGAUCCAGAAUGAGCUCCUUGGGGACCUGGGGGAUCCCAGGGAAGUGUCUGCCACCUGCAGCUCAGCCUGAAUGCACACUUGCAGCUAAACCCCAGCAUCUCCAAGCAUCUAGAACUCUGUCAUGAGAAAACUGAAGCUGGGCCCAGAUUAUAAUAAUGGAAACUCUGGUGUUCUUCACAGCGAAGCUUCUCGGGCAGCGGGCAGGUGCACCAAGAUCUUGACUCCCAGCACCUGGGCCUGCCCAUGUUCUCAAGCUGAGCAUCCUCCUACUCUUACAGCCUCACCCAUUAACUGUGUAGGCCACACAAACACCACCACAUUUUAUAUGUGCUAUGUUGUGGAUAAAGAUGGAAAACACUGUUUUGGGGAAGCAGAAGCUUUGAGCUGCUCUUUUCAGAACAAAGCUAAAGGAAAUGGGCACUGCCCAUUUUGUAUUUCACAGAGGAAUGUAAGAGGGCAGCAGGAAGCAAUCAAGAUGGGGAAAUCAGGAGGGCAGCUGGGACAUCUCUUUGCCUCAUGAUGAGAAGUAAGGCAAGGCCGAGCUGGCAGGAACCUCAGAAGACAAAAUAAAAGGCUCCCAUCUUUUCUAACGUUCAGAACAGUGAUCUCAUACUCGCGCUCAUUGUUUUCGGUUAUCCAAAGCAAACGAUUUCUCGGGAAGCUAUUAAAACAACUUGCAAUCUAAUACGAGACGUCAUUUUCUCCCAGUGACCAGCACUGGGCCAGGCAUUAUUUGGGUUUAGAAUUUUAGCUGACUGUGACUGAACUGUGAACCUCAAGUGAGUGUCACUUUAUUGGGGACCAUGACCUGACGCUGCACGGGACAACUUACAGUGCCUUUCUCGAAACUUCUCACUUGCAGGAGGAGCCUGGUUGGGUAGCAGCGCAGUCAUUUUAUAACUAUGUGAAAAUUUGUGUGUGGAAACCUGAGUGACCUAACCACACACUCUUGGUUUACUCUAGCAAUGUCCUGGGCUUUUUAUAGACUGGCAUCCUAGGCAGCAGGCCAUCUGGCCCGCCCCUGAGCUUGACCCUGGCUGUGGUAAAGCAUGGGCUUUGGCAUCAUAGACCUGAGUUCAAGGUCUGUGUCUGCUGCUCAUUAGCUGUGCAGUCUUGGGUGAGUUAUUUAACAAUCUUAAGCUACAGAUGCAAAUCAGAGAUAGGUGGAUGAUCUUACAGCUUAUUUCAUGGUAUUGCUUGACGACUAAAUGAACAGUGUGUGCCAAGGAGAGAAAUUAAUGCAUGCUCACUCUCCUUUUUACUCCUGAAACAACAAUAAAAAGCACCUGUACAGCUAAUGCUAACAAGAUCAUAUAUAUGAUUAUGUGUGUGUAUGCAUAUAUGUAUAU
Non-coding RNA from Ictidomys tridecemlineatus (thirteen-lined ground squirrel), 1585 nucleotides. NCBI's taxonomy places the organism in Eukaryota, Metazoa, Chordata, Mammalia, Rodentia, Sciuridae. The record is from RefSeq and is a predicted model, not a curated record.